UACGAAGGGGGCUAGCGUUGCUCGGAUUUACUGGGCGUAAAGGGCGUGUAGGCGGACAGUUAAGUUGGGGGUGAAAGCCCGGGGCUCAACCUCGGAAUUGCCUUCAAUACUGGCUGUCUUGAGUGUGAGAGAGGUGUGUGGAACUCCGAGUGUAGAGGUGAAAUUCGUAGAUAUUCGGAAGAACACCAGUGGCGAAGGCGACACACUGGCUCACUACUGACGCUGAGGCGCGAAAGCGUGGGGAGCAAACAGG
This 253-nucleotide ribosomal RNA is filed under the name uncultured bacterium. RNAcentral describes it as "partial 16S ribosomal RNA". It matches the Rfam family "Bacterial small subunit ribosomal RNA", at positions 524 to 776 of the family's 1533-position model. The record is from RNAcentral.